This 450-nucleotide ribosomal RNA is filed under the name uncultured bacterium. Its description in RNAcentral is "partial 16S ribosomal RNA". It matches the Rfam family "Bacterial small subunit ribosomal RNA", at positions 354 to 796 of the family's 1533-position model. The record is from RNAcentral.
GUGGGGAAUCUUCCGCAAUGGACGAAAGUCUGACGGAGCAACGCCGCGUGAGUGAAGAAGGUUUUCGGAUCGUAAAGCUCUUUCGUUAGGGACGAACGUGCACUUUGUGAAUAAUGAGGAGUAAUGACGGUACCUAAAUAAGAAGCCAAGGCUAACUACGUGCCAGCAGCCGCGGUAAUACGUAGGUGGCAAGCGUUGUACGGAAUUAUUGGGCGUAAAGCGCACGCAGGCGGGAUAUCAAAUCUGUCUUAAAAGUGCGAGGCUCAACCUCGUGAGGGGACAGAAACUGGUAUACUUGAGUGUCGGAGAGGAAAGUGGAAUUCCAAGUGUAGCGGUGAAAUGCGUAGAGAUUUGGAAGAACACCAGUGGCGAAGGCGACUUUCUGGACGAUGUCUGACGCUGAGGCGCGAAAGCUAGGGGAGCGAACGAGAUUAGAAACCCCUGUAGUCC